UAAAAAUUUAAUUUUAAUUUAAAGGUUUAUUAUUAAUUUAAUUUAUAUGUAAAUUUUUGUGUGAUCUUUUAUUUAUUUAAAUAAUAAUUAAAUUAUUUUAUUCGCAGUAAUUAAUAUUAUUAAUUUAAGAAAUUUAGAAAUAGUAAUAUUGAAUAGUAUUGAUUAAAUUUGUGCCAGCAAUCGCGGUUAUACUAAUAAUGCAAAUAAUUUUUUAUUGGUUAAAGUUAAAUUAUUUAUUAUAAAAUAAGUAUUAAUUUAUUAAGUGAAAUUAUAAAUUAUUAUAUUUUUUUAUUUAAUAAUUGAAGCUUGAAAAUUUUAAUUUAUAAACUAGGAUUAGAUACCCUAUUAUUUAAAAUGUAAAUUUAAAAAUUUAAGGUAGUAAUAGUUAUGUUCUUUAAACUUAAAAAAUUUGGCGGUAUUUUAGUCUAUUCAGAGGAACUUGUUUUAUAAUUGAUAAUCCACAAUGGACCUUACUUAAAUUUGUAAUCAAUUUAUAUACCGUCGUUAUUAGGAUAUUUUAUAAAAAUGAUAAUUUCCAAAAUUUUUUUAAAAAAUAUAUCAGAUCAAGGUGUAGUUUAUAUUUAAGAAAAAAUGGGUUACAAUAAAAUUAUUUAUACGAAUAUAAAUGUGAAAUAUUUAUUGAAGGUGGAUUUGAUAGUAAAAUUAUAAAGAUUAAUAAAUUGAUUUUAGCUCUAAAAUAUGUACAUAUCGCCCGUCACUUUUGCUUUUAAGGUAAGAUAAGUCGUAACAUAGUAGAUGUACUGGAAAGUGUAUCUAGAAUGCA
Molecule: non-coding RNA, 784 nt
Filed under: Hylemya vagans
Lineage: Eukaryota; Metazoa; Arthropoda; Insecta; Diptera; Anthomyiidae
Source: RNAcentral